RNAcentral lists this unclassified non-coding RNA (273 nucleotides) under Plagiobothrys mollis var. mollis. Its description in RNAcentral is "partial external transcribed spacer". The record is from RNAcentral. Lineage: Eukaryota; Viridiplantae; Streptophyta; Magnoliopsida; Boraginales; Boraginaceae.
CACUUCGCCUGCGUUGUCCCUUUUCCUGGGGCGACGCGGGGUGAACCAUGAAGCAAUCUUUGCGUCCCACUCCACCCACAUUAGGCUGUGGUUGUGGAUUGGUCCGCAGGGCAUUCGCUUGAGCUCUCGGAUGCGGUGCAUUAUAAGCGGGCACGAGGACUCACGUCCUCUAUUUGCCCGAAAUAAAGCUUUCAUCGCUUGUUUGCGAACGAUUGCGAUCCCCGUUUCGAGCCCCCGGGCGAGUCCGGCGUUUAUCUUCUUGCGGAAAUGCUA